RNAcentral lists this ribosomal RNA (1461 nucleotides) under Triticum aestivum (bread wheat). Its description in RNAcentral is "partial small subunit ribosomal RNA". The record is from RNAcentral. Lineage: Eukaryota; Viridiplantae; Streptophyta; Magnoliopsida; Poales; Poaceae.
AUGUUUCCAGUGACGGGUUCGCCAAAAUGCGUUGCUUUCCGAUCAAAGCAUGCCCGCAAGUACCUAGGUAGCGUGCAUGCAGGCAACGAGGAGAGCCGCGGCGGAGACAGGUUCUUCGAGGAGCUGAGCGACGGCGCCGAUGACGUCGAUGUCCUUGCAAGCCCGUACACUAGAUUCUACCUGGAGCCCUCCAAGGAGCACGACGGGCUACUGCACGUCAGGUGCUGCCACAACAACAAGUACUGGGUGGCCAAACAUGGCGGUGAAGGCAGCGGCCACUGGACCAUCGGCAUCGUCAAUGAACCGGACGACGACCUGUCCAAGCCGUCAUGCACGCUUUUUGAGCCCGUCCCUCUCACGGACGGGGACAAUAAUCUAUCCAUCAGGUUCUUCCGUCCCCAGCAGACAACAAGCUCUGAAUCUGAUAUGACCAAGGAAAGGGGACAAGAAGAAGCCUACCUGCAUCUGGGAACUGGAGUUGAUCAAGUGAAAUCUCUUCAUGAUUUCUCCGCCAUUGAUCUGUCAAAGCAAUUGGUACUCCCCAAAUACGUUGCUUUUAAAGGCGACAAUGACAUGUACCUCCGGGCGAGGAUCAUCCAGAAACACAAUUACUUGGAAUUCUCAUCAUCUGAUAUUGCAGAUUCAACUGUGGUCAACACUAUUUUCCCCAACUGCGCUAAUGGGAACGUGCGCAUAAAAUCUAACCACUUCAAUAGGUUUUGGAGGCUCAGCCCCAACUGGAUCUGGGCUGACUCCGCCGACAGCAGCAGCAGAGACCGUGACACGCUCUUCAGGGUGGUCAUGUUGCCCGACUACAUCGGUCUCCAGAACCUGGGAAACUCCAGGUACUGUAAGAGGCUAACUGCAGACAGGAAGACAAGCUGCCUUAACGCCGCCGUCGAUACCAUCACACUUGAAGCAAGGUUACGGGUGGAAGAAGCCGUACUUUCGCGAGAGAUCUAUGGCGUGGAGUUCAAGCUCUCCGAAGCUAGGAUCUACGAUGAGAAGCCUCUUACCUAUCCCAGCAUGACUUCAACCAAUGACACCAACGAACUACAUGCCAAGACCCUGACCCUGAAAUACGAGGAGACGCAGGCCAAGACCUGGAGCUCGACUGUUAGCCUCAAGAUCGGUGUCACUGCCAAGUUAAGAGCCGGGAUCCCGGUCAUAGCAGAAGGGAAGGUUGAGGUAUCCACUGAAUUCAACUCAGAAUACGAGUGGGGGUCAUCCAUUCAGACAACGGCGUCAAAAGAGGCCUCCUAUCAGGCUGUGGUGCUUCCGAUGACCAAGGUGACAAUCAGAGCGGCUGUGACUCAGGGUUCUGUGGACGUCCCGUUCUCCUACACUCAGAGGGACAUUCUGACCACAGGAGAGGUUGUUACCUACAAGAUGGACGACGGCCUGUUCACUGGUAUGAACAACUAUAAUUUCCAAUUUGAAACCACACAAGAGCCCAUUUGA